CCUACGGGAGGCAGCAGUAGGGAAUAUUGCUCAAUGAGGGAAACCCUGAAGCAGCAACGCCGCGUGCAGGAUGAAGGUUUUCGGAUUGUAAACUCCUUUUGUUAGUGAAGAUAAUGACGGUAUCUAACGAAUAAGCAACGGAUAACUCCGUGCCAGCAGCCGCGGUAAUACGGAGGGUGCAAGCGUUACUCGGAAUCACUGGGCGUAAAGAGCGCGUAGGCGGGAUAGCAAGUCAGAUGUGAAAUCCUAUGGCUUAACCAUAGAACUGCAUUUGAAACUGUUAUUCUAGAGUAUGGGAGAGGUAGGUGGAAUUCUUGGUGUAGGGGUAAAAUGCGUAGAGAUCAAGAGGAAUACUCAUUGCGAAGGCGACCUGCUAGAACAUAACUGACGCUGAGUCGCGAAAGCGUGGGGAGCAAACAGGAUUAGAUACCCCAGUAGUC
This 440-nucleotide ribosomal RNA is filed under the name uncultured bacterium. Its description in RNAcentral is "partial 16S ribosomal RNA". It matches the Rfam family "Bacterial small subunit ribosomal RNA", at positions 338 to 795 of the family's 1533-position model. The record is from RNAcentral.